RNAcentral lists this ribosomal RNA (422 nucleotides) under uncultured bacterium. RNAcentral describes it as "partial 16S ribosomal RNA". It matches the Rfam family "Bacterial small subunit ribosomal RNA", at positions 360 to 774 of the family's 1533-position model. The record is from RNAcentral.
AAUUUUGGACAAUGGGGGAAACCCUGAUCCAGCCAUCCCGCGUGUGUGAUGAAGGCCUUCGGGUUGCAAAGCACUUUUGACAUGGAAGAAAUAUCAGGGGCUAAUAUCCUCUUUGAAUGACUGUACCUGUAGAAUAUGCACCGGCUAACUACUUGCCAGCUGCCUCGGUAAUACGUAGGGUGCAAGCGUUAAUUGGAAUUACUGGGCGUAAAGGGUACGCAGGCGGCUAGGAAAGAAAGAUGUGAAAUCCCAGGGCUCAACCUUGGAACUGCAUUUUUAACUACCUAGCUAGAGUAUGUCAGAGGGGGGUAGAAUUCCACGUGUAGCAGUGAAAUGCGUAGAGAUGUGGAGGAAUACCGAUGGCGAAGGCAGCCCCCUGGGAUAAUACUGACGCUCAGGUACGAAAGCGUGGGGAGCAAACA